Non-coding RNA from Aegilops tauschii subsp. strangulata, 566 nucleotides. The record is from RefSeq and is a predicted model, not a curated record. NCBI's taxonomy places the organism in Eukaryota, Viridiplantae, Streptophyta, Magnoliopsida, Poales, Poaceae.
GUUACUCUUUACGAUAAUUCAGUAAUACCAAGAUAUCCCGUUCAUAAGGAUUUUGUCCUAAUACUCUUGACUAAAUGCAGCUGCUUUUGCUUUUUACAGCCAACAACCAACAUGCUUGUAGCUGAGGACUGGAAUAGGCUCCGAAUCCUGAGCCGUGGUGGAAAUUGGGUUAAUUAAAUACUCCAAGACUGCAACUGUUAUCUAUGGAUGAAAUAACCAAACUAACUCGCAAGAAAACAGUCUCCAUGGUCUGAAUGACCAAACAGCGAACACAUAUAUGCUUUGCUCUCAUGGGGAGGGCUUCAGGAGACAGGAGCCUCGAUGCGCUGAAGAGAGGGGCUGAGCUGCCGAGGGACCAAUUUUGUGGCUCUGAUGAGAAUCCUUUGAGAUGCUACUAGUGACAACCCUACGGUAACCAAGUGAAGGUUUUGCUGUUGCUGCAUUUGGCUCGGUCUGUGGGUCUGGGGGAUGUCUUUUGCGAGCAUCCUGGUUAUCUUUCCGUAUGUAAUGAAGUGGUUGUGAUGCUGUGAUUCCAGUUAAUGUUAUGCCUUUUGCCUUUCCAGUUA